Rhipicephalus sanguineus (brown dog tick) is the source of this 225-nucleotide long non-coding RNA. RefSeq lists it as uncharacterized. The record is from RefSeq and is a predicted model, not a curated record. NCBI's taxonomy places the organism in Eukaryota, Metazoa, Arthropoda, Arachnida, Ixodida, Ixodidae. The transcript is spliced from 3 exons.
CAAGGUCUGCAGCGAGCACUUCGUUUCUGGAAGGCCAUCCUACCUGAUGGACGUUACAAACCCAGACUGGGCACCCAGCUUACACUUGGGGUAUGACAGAAACUCAGCUGCUAAAUCUGAAGCAAGGCACCAGCGACGUUGCAAGAGGGCUGCGACCUCAAAGGAGAUCCAAGAGGGCAAUAGCAGAGUUCUCCAGCCUUCAAAUGUGUUGAACGUGCAGCACAG